Molecule: long non-coding RNA, 816 nt
Organism: Cyprinus carpio carpio
Lineage: Eukaryota; Metazoa; Chordata; Actinopteri; Cypriniformes; Cyprinidae
Source: Ensembl
AAAAAUUCUUCAACUUAUACAAACCCUGAAGGAGUGUAUUUGGCACAGAAAUACUCUGUCAUACGUCCAACAAGUUUUUUUGUUUUUUUUCUUUUUUUUUUGGCCAUGUUUAUCACAAGAAUCCAGCUCUUUAACAGUUAUGUUCACUAGGAUUUAACCAUAUGGCUGUGUGUUAAAAUGACAAUCUCUGACGUUCAGAGCAGCGCAUGUGGGCGAUCUUCAUGCUAUCAACUGCUAUAGUGGCAUCCCAUCUGGUCAUAUGUUCUAAGCACGGAACUUGUCGACAUGGUUAACACAAGCUCAGCGGCUACAAACAGAUGGCCACCAGAUCCAGUCUGUAUCCAAGUCAGAGGGUCACUGCAGUCACCUGGAUCCAGUACAUAUCCAGCCCAGAUGGUGGAUCAGCACCUAGAAAGGACCUCUACAGCCCUGAAAGACAGCGGAGACCAGGACAACUAGAGCCCCAGAGACAGAUCCCCUGUAAAGACCUUGUCUCAGACGACCACCGGGACAAGACCACAGAAACAGAUGAUUCUUCUGCACAAUCUGACUUUGCUGCAGCCUGGUAUUGAACUGCUGGUUUCGUCUGGUCAGAGGAGAACUGGCCCCCCAACUGAGCCUGGUUUCUCCCAAGGUUUUUUCUCCAUUCUGUCACUGAUGGAGUUUUGGUUCCUUGCUGCUGUCGCCUCUGGCUUGCUAGUUGGGUACACUUCAUUUACAGCGAUAUCGUUGACUUGAUUGCAAAUUAUUGCACAGAUACUAUUUAAACUGAACUGAGCUGCAUGAUGACAUCACUGAAUUCAAUGAUGAACUGCC